RNAcentral lists this ribosomal RNA (550 nucleotides) under Paenibacillus sp. FePIS2. RNAcentral's name for it is "bacterial SSU rRNA". It matches the Rfam family "Bacterial small subunit ribosomal RNA", at positions 371 to 917 of the family's 1533-position model. Lineage: Bacteria; Bacillati; Bacillota; Bacilli; Caryophanales; Paenibacillaceae. The record is from RNAcentral.
AUGGCGAGCCUGACGGAGCAUGCCGCGUGAGUGAUGAAGGUUUUCGGAUCGUAAAGCUCUGUUGCCAGGGAAGAACGCUUGGGAGAGUAACUGCUCUCAAGGUGACGGUACCUGAGAAGAAAGCCCCGGCUAACUACGUGCCAGCAGCCGCGGUAAUACGUAGGGGGCAAGCGUUGUCCGGAAUUAUUGGGCGUAAAGCGCGCGCAGGCGGUCAUUUAAGUCUGGUGUUUAAUCCCGGGGCUCAACCCCGGAUCGCACUGGAAACUGGGUGACUUGAGUGCAGAAGAGGAGAGUGGAAUUCCACGUGUAGCGGUGAAAUGCGUAGAUAUGUGGAGGAACACCAGUGGCGAAGGCGACUCUCUGGGCUGUAACUGACGCUGAGGCGCGAAAGCGUGGGGAGCAAACAGGAUUAGAUACCCUGGUAGUCCACGCCGUAAACGAUGAGUGCUAGGUGUUAGGGGUUUCGAUACCCUUGGUGCCGAAGUUAACACAUUAAGCACUCCGCCUGGGGAGUACGGUCGCAAGACUGAAACUCAAAGGAAUUGACGGA